Dendroctonus ponderosae (mountain pine beetle) is the source of this 4161-nucleotide RNA transcript. It is a transcript of the gene named putative nuclease HARBI1, with no coding region annotated. The record is from RefSeq and is a predicted model, not a curated record. Lineage: Eukaryota; Metazoa; Arthropoda; Insecta; Coleoptera; Curculionidae. The transcript is spliced from 3 exons.
UCAUAGUGACGUACUGACAGAUACUGACUUAAAACUUAUGUUUGACAUGAGUGUUUUGUAAUAAUAAUGUUCAUAAUUCGCGCUAUUAUUGAUGUCGUAAUGACAUUUGAUGCCUUGCGGUAGGUCAGGUUUUUAAUCCAAACAUUGAACCUUUUUCAUCGGAAUUUUUGGAUUUUCUGAUUUUGUGUGCCUUUAACGUGUUUGAGAACUGUGUAAAGUCGAUUUAUUGGUGUGGUAUAUGGUUUGAAACAUCUCAAAUAGUUUAGGUAAGAUCUUUAGCGUAGCUUCUCGGAAAUAUAUCGAUUUAACUUUAUCAUUUUUAUGUUAUCUUUACAGCAUCAAGAAUAUUUAGUGGUUCCCAACUGUAGAAUUAGAUUUUCGGGCAUAAAGUAAGAGAUACAUAAUCAAAAAGUAUAUAUAUAUCGAUGUAUAUUCAAAUAGAAUCUUAUUUUUAAACUUCAGUGGCUGAAAAGCAUAUCAUAAAGUUCAGUUUUAUAAGCAAUUUUUUUUGAACUAAACGCCAAACAAUUAGCUUGGGGAGAAAACUUUUACACCAGUGCAUACGGAAAAGUUUUUAUUUAUGGAAAUUGCCAGCCACCCCUCAUCAAGGAACAAGGAAGAGCAAGGCAGCAUGUACUUGCCCUAGGGAAACUGUGCUACUCACAUAUAGUAGCACUUUUAUAUCACGCACAUUACAAUAUUAGUGCGACGGACAUUGAACUUUCCAUUGUGGAAUACCCCAUGUUUUAAGCCCAGCGAGGAAAAAACUGUUAAAUUAAUAAACUUAUAUUGCUUGCGGUCUGGAGCCCAGCACUUCACCGUUUUAAGACUGAAACGUGUUGGUUUUGUAAAUAUAUGUAAAUAAUAUUUUAAUAAUAGUUGUUAUGUUUAGAAGUAAAAUUAAAAAUCCGUAGUCCAAUUCUCUUUCUAUUGCGAUGGACUUGCUGAACUUUAACCUAAAAAUGAUAAAGUUAAAUCGAUAUAUUCCCGAGAAGCUACGCUAAAGAUACUGCCUAAACUAUUUGAGUGGUACAAAGCAUAUGCCACACCAAUACAUUUUCUUAAAAAACGUAGAUCAAAAACACGUUGGAGGUACACAAAUCGAAAAAUCCUAAAAUGCCUAGGAGCAAAAAGUGCAGUUUUCAUUAAAAAACCUGACCUGCCUCAACAACGGCGCAUGCUGCACGUCACACUGAUGAUACAAGGCUAGCAUAGUUGCCAGAUGUGCAAUGAAGUAAAGCGUUUGCUUUUGGCAAGUAGCCCAAAAGUUCGAAUUGCAAAUUCUUCUCAUAAUCAUCAUUUUUGAAUUGCUGAGGGCAUAUUUGUAUCCGCACAACAAGCAUUCUCCCAUAGCUUGCACACGUUCUACACUGAACUUUCCAACUACCAAACGCAAAAUGCUCAGAUGCAGUAGCGGCUCGUGGACUGAUGUAGCGGGUGUUCUGCAAAAGAAGUUCACUGAAAUGUCAAAUCCUUUUCGAAUACCUAAUAUAUUUUUUCAAUAUUAUGUAACAGUAAAGUCUAAAUUAAUCUAUUUUUUAUAUAACAGUACAAUUCUUCGAUCCUUUCUAGUUGUAAAUUUGUCGAUUAUCAUCUCAUUAAAUUUGUCGAUUUCAGAAAUAAACGUCUUUUCGAUAGAAAUCAUGAAUAGAGCUAAUAAGCGAUCUUCAGUCAUAGAGUUGCGGAGGAAGGUCUUUAAUCCGUUUUAAGGUUGAGAAGCAACGCUCGGCUUCUGCUGUGGUCACAACAACUCCAAGUUGCAACUAUUUCUAGCGUUUUUUUUUUUGUUUUACUCAUUGUUUCAUCUAAAUUAUUUUUUAUCAAAAAUUUUAGGAGGGGUAACGCGCCAUUUAUUUCCCUACAGUCGCUUCUGAAAUAAAUAACCGACAGUUCCGUGCGGAGUCGUUCUUUUUCAAUAUGUGGAUAAGUUGAACAGAUGGUAAUCAACUUGUCUUCAAGAAACUUGCCACAAUACUCUCCAAAUUGUUCAGAAAAAAAGAAAAUGCAGCUACAAGAUAAUCUUUGAAAAUAAAUCUAUCUUUGAUGGAAAUUGUAAUCAUGUCACACACUUCUAAUGCUGCAACACGGUUAUCGAAUUUGCUAUUUCCGGAACGUUUUCGUUUAGUUGGUGGUGGUUCAGUGCAUAUGUUUGAAACUUCGUUUACAAUAUCGUCAAUUGUAUUUCGGAUAUGAACAAUUAUCUGUUCAAAGUUAUCAAUGGCAUGCAUGACCUGUGUUGGAUCUGUUUUCCUCUUCUGCAAUUGAUUGAAUAAAAUAUCCACAUGCAUCAUGCAUGAUGUGGUGGAAAAAUGUAAGCAAAAAAACGAAUUUUGGUUCUUGUAAAGUACGUUCAAUGGAGUCAGCGGCACUGCAGACGGUUGCUUGAGUAAAAUUUUCCAUUAUUUCUUCCAUACAAUCCAUAAGUGACUCUCUGUGUUCAAAUACAACAUUAAUUGUACGAAUAUUAAAAUUCCAACGAGUUGCAGCGGCAUGUGGUAUUUUUCUUCGCACAAUUUUAUUUAGUACUUCUACACGUUGCGGAGAAUUACUGAAAAAUCCAGGAAUAUCUUGCAACUUUCUAAAAAAGACCCGUACUUGAGCGUUUGCAGAAGCUGCUUUGGACAAAAUCAAAUUGAAUUGAUGGACAUAACAGUGUACAAAAUGGGCAAAGGCAUAUUUUUGUUUAAUUUUUGGCUGAACUCCUGCGUGUUGUCCACUCAUAACUGCUGCUCCAUCGUAAUUCUGUGCAAUUAACUUAUUAGGAGAAUUUCCACCUAAUCGGUCUAUAAUGCUUAAAAUAUUUUCAGAUAAAGUUUCAGCAUAGCAUUUUUCAGGAUUUAGAUAUGUCCAAAAACGCUCAACUGGUUCUCCAUCAUCGCGUGAAUAUCUUAAAAUGACCAUUAGUUGAGUUUUUGCAGACACAUCCGUCGUUUCAUCAGCACUAACAGCCAACACCAAAGCUUUUUUAAUCUCUUUGGUUAUUUCUUCAUGGCAAACCUCAAGUAUGCAAUCCAAUAAUUAAUUUUGGAUUUCUUUUGACGUACCUUUAAAAACAGACGCUUUUUGCAUAUGUUCACCCAAACUUGAAUCAAGUUCAGCCGCAAAAUUGAUCAAUUCACGAAAUAUGCCAGGGUUUUGCGAGGAAUCAGAUUCGUCAUGACCUCGUAGUGCCAAUUCAAAUGCUCCGCAAAAUUUAAGGCUGUUUAUAAUUUUUGGUAGGACAUACCUAUUUUGUGUCACGUUCUCGUUAUGUUGCUCUAAGUUCUUCCAGUAAGGGCACUUAAUUGAGAUCGAAUAUCAACUGUCCCAAGUAAAGCCAAUUCCAUGGUUGUGAAGAUUACUUUUUGAGUUUUCAUGCUUUUUUAUUUUUUCACAUAGAUGCACCAAAUCAGUUACCCCUACCUCCGUCCAUGCUUUAUAGCCGCUAAUUAGUAGACAAGGAAAACAAAAUAAAGCAUUUUUCUUAUUGCAACCACAAAUCCACUUAUUUUUGUUAUAAAUUUCUUGGCGUUUAUACGUUUUUCCUCUACUAACUCCACUUGCUUCUAUAGUAAUAUCCGGCAAUGGUAGACCCUUUUUAUUCAAUUCAAUUUUCUCUUCGUAACUAUACUUGAAAAAUAUUUUAACGUUUUUCAAAACGAAAACUACAUCCAUGGUGAUAAAACUGACAAACUUAAUUAUUUUAAAAAUCGCACAAUCUGAUAAUAUAAAUAAAUAUAAUCCCUGUCGCCUAACGUGGUUGUCUAACUAGAACUGUAUGAACUAACUAGAAAAGUUGUGGGUUUUAUCAGUGUACUGCACUACAUGCAGCUCAAAGCCCCGCUUAAAAUUCGGGAUUUUGCCGUGGUUGCACGGAAUAACGGUGACCGGCGUAGGUGUUCAAAGCAGGGCACCACCAGACUUCAAGCGGCCCAGGCAAAUGCUGUUUCUGUGCCUGAAACUUAGGCAGCGAAUAGUGGUCCAUAGUUCCACUGAUUUACUGUAAACAGUGCGCCUGAUGUAUCAUAUUAUGUUAUACCCGUAUCCUGAAAGAAAUGCAUUUACCUAAGUCCUGGUUUUGAGUAGUUGGAUUGUAAUUUUUUCAGAUUGUCUGUGAUCAUCGGGGCAAAAUAAGGGAUGUAAUAAUAGGAUUUCCAGGCUCCGUCCACGACAGCCGAGUGU